UCACUUAACACUUUACCCAUUCCAUAAAUCCAAUUAAUUAUCGACAAAGAGCAGUUUCAGUGCUGAAUAAUUCACCAAAUAGAAACUAUAAAACACCCACUCCCUUGUUAACGUAUCAGAAUAAGUUAUAUACAUACAUGAUUGACAAGAUACAAUAUCAAUCCAUUCAUGAACAGGGAACGUACUAUUGGCAUGCUACCAAAUCAGAUGACUUGGACCUUUAUAGUCCAAAUGACUUUAAACAAGUAAUAAAUUGCCAAAUCCAUACAUUCAACUACCCAUAACAGCGUCUGACUUCUAAGAUGACCUAUUUGGACAAUGUUUAUGCAAUCAUAUGAAAUUUUCUUCAAAAAGUACACAAAAUUGGGCUCAGAAUUAAUCCCUCAAAUUGACAAGCAAACCCCAAAGACAUUACAAACGUUCAACCCCCCCCCCCCCCUAUUUCAAUGAAUAACACACAAACAGGCUGAUUAUACUACGACUUUAACCAGGACUGUUAUACAGACUUAAUACCAUCAGCAUGAGCUACUAAAUAUAUACCCCUGAACAACUUCAUUAACCAAAGACCAUCAAAACAAACUUAAGCAUAACAAGAAAGAAAUGGACAUGAAAAAAUGGAAUGAAAGCUGAAUAGCCUAAAGAAAAUAUGGAAACUAAAGCCCCAAACAAAAUAAUCCCCAUUGACUUCAGCAGAAACAUAUCUUCCAUAUAAAACAUAUUCAAGCUCCAUUUUCCAUUCAAGGUUCAAAGGAAUACCUGGAACAAUAAGAAACAAACAACAAAAACUUUCAGCAAAGAAAUUAAAAUAUCAGCAGUUUUUAAACAGCAACAAACGGCAGUUCAUCAGUCAACUUUUUAUGUCUUGAGCCCAGAACAAAACAGCAAUUUUUCUAGCCUUUAAAACCCAAGAAACAUGAAGAACCAGCUACAACAGACCAGUAUUUGCCAAUUUUUUGUGUUUUCUUGCUAAUUUCUAAACUUUAGUAGUGAGUGUACCCUUCAGUCAUUUCUAGUUUUUUAGUCUUGUAAUCUCUGCCCAUUUUUAUUGUAAGCAAACCUUAUAUAGAGGACCUUAGGGUAGCAGAAUUGAUUUCAGAGUUUUGUUCAUUACCCCUUCCCCAAUUUUUCUUUUGUUCAAAUAACACCCUGAAUUUUAAACCUAUUUACUGAACUACCCAAUCCCCUCUUUCCUAGAAGCUUCCCAAUCAGUUUAAGGGAGAUUCCUCUUAUUAAAUUCCCUAAACUACCCUUCAAAGGCUUACUAAUUACUUUAACACACCAGACCUUGAACCCCUUUAAACAACUGAAAAACCCAAAACCCCCAGAACUCUUUUGGCCUUAGUGCUAAUGGGCAUGUCUGGAUAUAGGGCAGGCCCCAAAUCAAACAAAGCCCAAAACAAAGCAAUUUUUGGAAGAAGAAGAAAACAGCAAUAAUCCAACUCAACGAAAUCAAAAACAACCACAAUGAACCAAUUCAUCUAAACCAUGGAAUCGUAACAAAAUUAAACAGAUAAAUUAGAAAUGAUCAGUGAGGAAUUACACGGAUUCAAGGGCCUAACAAAACUAAAUCAUGUUAAGACGUUUAACAACAAUUGACAGACUAAAUGACUCUGAGGUUAAGCACAAACAAAGGAAAGCUAAAAUUCUUCAUUCUUGAAAGAAAAGGAGAAGAAGAUAAAGAAACGAAGGGGAACGGAUAGACAGAAAAAGGGACCAAGAGAGAUAGAAAUACCUAAUACUCUGGGCGCCCAGACGACUUGGAUAAAGCAACUCCCCGACUUUUUGAUUUAAACCAAAAUGAGUGUUAAUCGACUAUUCUUGUGAGAACAAAUGACUAACACUCGUUUCAGACAAAAAUUGACUUCAUGGAGAACAUGAACCCAGGCCUUUUGCAUGAUGAAUCAAGGGCAAGAACGUAUCUAGGGUUUUGUUUUAAGAUAUGAAAUUAAGGGAGACUGGUGGAGAUUUUGGGGAAAUUGACACCGGCCUAAUGUUUGAGGGAGUAUGGGGAGUGUAUGGUUGAUUUUUGGUGGGAUUUGGAGCUUCAACGCCGCGAUGGCGAAAUCCGGCGGGUGGCAGGCGGUGGUGAGAUAUGAGGAUGAAAGAAAAGCUGUAAUAGGGUCCUAGGUUAUUUUAGGGGUAUUCAGACAAUUAUAAACAAAAAAAGGGGACUUUCACGGCCGU
Molecule: long non-coding RNA, 2184 nt
Filed under: Nicotiana tabacum (common tobacco)
Lineage: Eukaryota; Viridiplantae; Streptophyta; Magnoliopsida; Solanales; Solanaceae
Description: long non-coding RNA (NTAB_LNC014415)
Source: RNAcentral